CCCAUUUUCACUGUGGUUGGUUGUGUGUGUAAUAGAGUCAGAUCUGGACAAAUCUGGUAGCUGUUUCUGGAAUCCAAUUCAACCCAGUUACAUUUCGUACCAGGUUUCACUCUGGGGUGUUGCUUCCCCAGUCGGCAGUUUAAUUACUGCACACCUGGGCUCCAGAAAAGAUUAUGUCUCACCUGCUCUAAGCUGGAACACUGUAACACCAGUCACAUGCAGGAGAAGACGUGAAUAUCUACGUAAAAUGUGCCCACAUAAACCUGGAUUGGAUGAACAGGACCCAUCUGAUUCUUCUCUCAGAACCUGA
Molecule: long non-coding RNA, 310 nt
Organism: Microcebus murinus (gray mouse lemur)
Lineage: Eukaryota; Metazoa; Chordata; Mammalia; Primates; Cheirogaleidae
Source: Ensembl